Molecule: non-coding RNA, 72 nt
Organism: Trichophaea hybrida
Lineage: Eukaryota; Fungi; Ascomycota; Pezizomycetes; Pezizales; Pyronemataceae
Source: the annotation of a GenBank genome assembly
GUGGGCAUAGUAUAGUGGUCAGUACAAAGCUUUGUGGCAGCUUAGACCCCGGUUCGAUUCCGGGUGCCCACA